CCAAAAUACCAUCACACUAACAAAUCCAUAAUCUACUCCUUAAUACGAGUAUAAUGGUACCCAUAUUGCACUAUUGUGCUUCAGAUUCAAAAAUGACACCAAAAACUCCAAGGGGUCCCACAUAUAGAAAAUGAGUUUCCGAGGACAACCCAAUGCUCACAUAUGAACAAGGAAUCAUAACCCUCAAAGAAUGGGUGAAAACUAAGCAUACUUUGGG
Molecule: long non-coding RNA, 217 nt
Filed under: Capsicum annuum
Lineage: Eukaryota; Viridiplantae; Streptophyta; Magnoliopsida; Solanales; Solanaceae
Description: long non-coding RNA (CANN_LNC002834)
Source: RNAcentral